Molecule: ribosomal RNA, 252 nt
Filed under: uncultured bacterium
Lineage: Bacteria
Description: partial 16S ribosomal RNA
Rfam family: Bacterial small subunit ribosomal RNA
Source: RNAcentral
UACGAAGGGGGCUGCGUUGUUCGGAAUCACUGGGCGUAAAGGGCGCGUAGGCGGCCAUAUAAGUCGGGGGUGAAAGCCUGUGGCUCAACCACAGAAUUGCCUUCGAUACUGGUUGGCUUGAGACCGGAAGAGGACAGCGGAACUGCGAGUGUAGAGGUGAAAUUCGUAGAUAUUCGCAAGAACACCAGUGGCGAAGGCGGCUGUCUGGUCCGGUUCUGACGCUGAGGCGCGAAAGCGUGGGGAGCAAACAGG